AGGCCGUUAGCCAGAGCCCGGGUUUCGCUGGUACCUGAGGUCGCAGUGGGCUGGCUUGGGGCUGGAGGCAGGCCACGACACCCCGCCCGGCUGCGGCGGGUUAGGGCCUACUGGGGCCCUCCUUUGGCCCCGGGCGGCGCUCUCCAGUUGCCUAACUGAAAGACCUCCCAGAACCAGACAGGCUUGUCUAGCAGGAAGUCGCCUUGAUUAACCUCCACCCCACUCUUGCCCAGACUGAUGGGAGUGUGCGCGCUCUUUCGGCUGUGUAAGAUGCACGGGGAGGAUCAAAUGAAGUAACUUCUGUGAAAACCUUCAGUGGGCAGCAUCUAAGUUUCCCUCAUUCAAAUGAAGAUAGUAAAGCCAGUCAUACCCAGUCCUGCCUGCACAGCAAAUGAUGCAAUGUUUGUAAAACUGCUUUGACAGGAAUAAAGUGUGUUUUUGCAGACCGUUA
Ictidomys tridecemlineatus (thirteen-lined ground squirrel) is the source of this 451-nucleotide long non-coding RNA. RefSeq lists it as uncharacterized. The record is from RefSeq and is a predicted model, not a curated record. Lineage: Eukaryota; Metazoa; Chordata; Mammalia; Rodentia; Sciuridae.